Molecule: ribosomal RNA, 486 nt
Filed under: uncultured bacterium
Lineage: Bacteria
Description: partial 16S ribosomal RNA
Rfam family: Bacterial small subunit ribosomal RNA
Source: RNAcentral
UGGGGAAUUUUGGACAAUGGGCGAAAGCCUGAUCCAGCAAUGCCGCGUGUGUGAAGAAGGCCUUCGGGUUGUAAAGCACUUUUGUCCGGAAAGAAAUCCUUGGCUCUAAUACAGUCGGGGGAUGACGGUACCGGAAGAAUAAGCACCGGCUAACUACGUGCCAGCAGCCGCGGUAAUACGUAGGGUGCAAGCGUUAAUCGGAAUUACUGGGCGUAAAGCGUGCGCAGGCGGUUUGCUAAGACCGAUGUGAAAUCCCGGGCUCAACCUGGGAACUGCAUUGGUGACUGGCAGGCUAGAGUAUGGCAGGAGGGGGGUAGAAUUCCACGUGUAGCAGUGAAAUGCGUAGAGAUGUGGAGGAAUACCGAUGGCGAAGGCAGCCCCUGGGCCAAUACUGACGCUCAUGCACGAAAGCGUGGGGAGCAAACAGGAUUCAGAUACCCUGGUAGUCCACGCCCUAAACGAUGUCAACUAGUUGUUGGGGAUUCA